Molecule: non-coding RNA, 134 nt
Organism: Triticum aestivum (bread wheat)
Lineage: Eukaryota; Viridiplantae; Streptophyta; Magnoliopsida; Poales; Poaceae
Source: Rfam
AUACUACUCCCUCGUCCCGAAAUUCUCGUCUUAAAUUUGUCUAAAUAUGAAUGUAUCAAGUCACGUUUUAGUAUUAGAUACAUCCAUACCUAGACAAAUCUAAGACAAGAAAUUUGGGACGGAGGGAGUAUGAU